This 687-nucleotide ribosomal RNA is filed under the name uncultured bacterium. RNAcentral's name for it is "bacterial SSU rRNA". It matches the Rfam family "Bacterial small subunit ribosomal RNA", at positions 46 to 704 of the family's 1533-position model. The record is from RNAcentral.
GUAUAGUACUGCAGUCGAGCGGACGGAUGGGAGCUUGGUCCCUGAUGUUAGCGGCGGACGGGUGAGUAACACGUGUGUAACCUGCGCCUGUUAGACUGUGAUAACUCUCGCGGAAACCGCGGGCUAAUACCGCGAUGCUUGUUUGAGACACGUCGAUGUGUUCUAAAAAUAAAAGGUGGCUUCGGCUACCACUUACAGAUGGACCCGCGGCGCAUUAUCUAGUUGGGGAGGUAAUGGCUCUCCAAGGCGACGAUGCGUAGCCGACAUGAGAGGGUGGAUCGCCCACACUGUGACUGAGACACGGCCCACACUCCUACGGGAGGGGGCAGUAGGGAAUCUUCCCCAAUGUACGAAAGUCUGAGGGAGCAACGCCGCGUGAGUGAUGAAGGUUUUCGGAUCGCAAAGCUCUGUUGUGAGGGAAGAACACGUGCGGUUCAAAUAUGGCGGGACCUUGUGGGUACCUAACCAGAAAGCCACGGCUAACUACGUGCCACCAGCCGCGGGAAUACGUAGGUGGCAAGCGUUGUCCGGAAUUAUUGGGCGUAAAGGGCUCGCAGGCGGUUUCUUAAAUCUGAUGUGAAAGCCCCCGGCUCAACCGGGGAGGGUCAUUGUAAACUGUGGAACUUGAGUGCAGAAAAGAAGAGUGUAAUUCCACGUGUAGCGCUGAAAUGUGUAUAGAUGUGUAGA